UGAUGAGUGCGUAUUUUUGCCCACAUUUAUGCUUUAAAAUUUAUAUUUUUGAUAAGAUUUUUGUGCUUAAAUGGGUGAUUUUAAGUGAAUAUGUGUGGAGUUGAAUUGUUAGGUUUUGGAAUUAAAGAGGCUUAAAAAGUGAUUUUAAUUGCAUAAAUUAUUCUUGGAUAUUCUAAUAUUUAUUUGUGCAGCUGAAGUUAGAGAUUUAUUGGUCCAAAUUGCAAUUUAAAGCCCAAACUCAGAUUUUAUUUCAUAAAUAAUGUACAAAUGGGCUAAACAGUCAAUUUUUACCUUUGCACCCCCAGAUUUCCCUACAUACACCCCCAGUUUUAAACCAGGCCAACAACCAAGCCCAAACACUAAACCUUUUCUCCUACACCUCCUAAAUUUUCCUAUCCAUACCCCUCCUAUCACUAACUAAGUCUGAUUGCCUAAGAUGGUGCCACAUGGCAGUCCACAAAUAAUAGAUCUAACCAUCCAGAUGAUGCCACAUCACUAAUCCCUGCACUCACCAAAUAAACCACUUAGAGCAUGCCACCUAGCCUCUCUUGCCACGUCAUCACCAUCUCCAACAGAAACCCUAAUUCCCAAAUCCAAACCCUAGCCGCCGCAACAGUGCUAUCUACUUCCGGUGAGCCACCAUCUUCUGCGUCCAUCAUUUCGCCGUCGAUCAACAUCCUCGCUGCCUAAGACCGUCGUCACCAUCUCAACGCACCAUCAACAAGUGCCCAAGCCACCGUGAAAACACGCGACAUCGGACCACCAACCACCAUCUUCUUUGCGAGCGAGCCGCCGCCACAGAGACCAAAUCGCGAACAGUGCUUCCGUAGAGGGAAGGAAUCAAACCCAGCAAUCUUCUCGAUCUCUCGCGUUUCUGAAUCUGCAAUCAGGAAAACAGCAAGCAACCAUCCUCACCAUGAAAUCGCGUCAGCCUUCGUCGCGAGUCCAUGGCCACCACGCUUCGACCACCAUUUUCCUUACGCCGCGCCACCACCAUCAACGAGAGCCAUCUCCAUUUGCGAGACCUGCAACCAGAAAUCACCACCACAGACCUACGAUUAGCAUCAUUUCCCUCGCUCUUCUUCCAGUCAUCAACACCGCCUUCGUCUUCCUUCAAGUCGCAAAACCCAGAAUCGCGAAUCCUCUUCCUCCAUGGACACCGUCGCACCUCGCACCAGUCCA
Molecule: long non-coding RNA, 1182 nt
Filed under: Vigna radiata
Lineage: Eukaryota; Viridiplantae; Streptophyta; Magnoliopsida; Fabales; Fabaceae
Description: long non-coding RNA (VRAD_LNC001012)
Source: RNAcentral